This 207-nucleotide ribosomal RNA is filed under the name uncultured bacterium. RNAcentral describes it as "partial 16S ribosomal RNA". It matches the Rfam family "Bacterial small subunit ribosomal RNA", at positions 568 to 774 of the family's 1533-position model. The record is from RNAcentral.
CGCGUAGGCGGCUUGUUAAGUCGGUUGUGAAAGCCCCGGGCUCAACCCGGGGAGGCCAGCCGAUACUGGCGGGCUUGAGUGCAGGAGAGGGAAGUGGAACUGCCGGUGUAGCGGUGGAAUGCGUAGAUAUCGGCAGGAACACCCGCGGCGAAGGCGGCUUCCUGGACUGUUACUGACGCUGAGGCGCGAAAGCCAGGGGAGCGAACG